UAUUAUAAAGCGUCGCACGACGCUGUGAAUAGCUGUCAGUUUCACUAUUAAUUUGUCAACACACCUUACUAGUACUAGUGUCUAGUAACACAAGGAUAAAAAUGUAAGUGAAUAAAUAAUUUCAAAAUAUGUUUUGUAUUAUAACAGGGAAGACAUUGAGAGAACACAACACCUCAAAACUGCAAGUGAAAAAGAAAACUUUUUUUCUGAAAUCAAGGCUGCGGCGGAAUCUGGUUGGGACUUUUGAAGCCGUUGAUUCAUUCUAAAUGGAAAAAAUGAAGGAACCAUCUUAAAUUCGAAAACAAUGCACAUUGAAAAUAAUGCAAGCAAUGCAUGAAUAACACCGUCAAGGCAUUGGGAUAUGAAAAUGUUUCUUUGCAAUGGAAAGAUGCAGUGACGGCCAAAUUGUGGGACGAGGUCGGAGCGUAUAAUAUAAAACGAAAUUAUUUUUACCCAACUAAUAUAUCACCGCUAUGGACUGGAUGGUUUGAUUAAAACGAUAUAAUUACGUUAAAAAAAUAGAAUAUUAAAUUAUAUUUACUUAGACCACCUAAAAAAAGGAUAAAAACCAUCGAUAUGUGAAUUGCCAUUUGUACCAAGUGAACACAGUUAACGAAAUUAAAAGCUAAUAGUAAAAAUAUACUUUAAGACCUAUUUUACCUGUCACGUACGUUAGACGUUGGAAUAUAUUCAGAUGAACUCCAAGUUCCAAAAGUGUAAAAUACGAGGAAAAUUAUAAAAUGUUUUACGUUCAUCAUCUUGAAUGAGAUGAACCAACGGCUUGAAAAGUCCCAACCGGAUUCUGCCGCGGCCUUGAUCUCAGAAUAUAAGUUUUCUUUUUCAAUUUUAGUCUUGAAGUGUUGUGCUUUCUCAAUGUCUUCCCUGUUAUAAUACAAAGCAUAUUUUGAAAUUAUUUAUUCACUUAAAUUUGUAUCCUUAAUGCUAUUAGGUAUUUACCUAUUAUUUAUUAUUGAUAUUUUCGUUAGGACCCCAGCUUAGUGUUCACAUGACAAUUAAUAUAACUACAUUUCAUUGUUAUCUUAUGUUGGUGACUCGCAACAGUAAAUUAGUGGAAAAAUAUUAUAUUGGUUUAAUUAAUAACUUAUAAGUUAUAAGUUAUUUUUAAGUAGAGUAAGCUACACAGUCAGAGCUAUAUACCGCGUAUUUAAUUGUAUUCCGACGUGUAAACCGUACCGAUACGGGUCAACAGUGUCAAUCAACUGCAAUUUGUCUUGAAUUUUUAAUUAGGUUUGGGUACGAUUGAUAUCGAGUAGUAAUCGAAGCUGUACAAAUCUUUAUAUAAUUUUUAUUUACCAGUGAUAAACUAAUAACUAAUAAGUAAUAACAUUAUAUUUGUAACAGUGUAUAUCGUUUACCCGGAAUUCUGCACAAUUGAAUUAAUGCUGUUGUGUUGUAGAUGUUUGAAUAAAUAAUAUUAUAAAUUAGUUUUAUAAAUUGUAUAUUGAUCCUUGUUGUAUCGUUAAUGUUAUAAUUAAUAUUAUAUUU
RNA transcript from Acyrthosiphon pisum (pea aphid), 1506 nucleotides. RefSeq lists it as uncharacterized. The record is from RefSeq and is a predicted model, not a curated record. The transcript has 3 exons. Lineage: Eukaryota; Metazoa; Arthropoda; Insecta; Hemiptera; Aphididae.